This 23-nucleotide non-coding RNA is filed under the name Arabidopsis thaliana (thale cress). Lineage: Eukaryota; Viridiplantae; Streptophyta; Magnoliopsida; Brassicales; Brassicaceae. The record is from RNAcentral.
AGAUGAUGUGAGGAGUUUCGCUA